Molecule: ribosomal RNA, 265 nt
Filed under: uncultured bacterium
Lineage: Bacteria
Description: partial 16S ribosomal RNA
Rfam family: Bacterial small subunit ribosomal RNA
Source: RNAcentral
UACGUAGGGGGCAAGCGUUGUCCGGAAUCAUUGGGCGUAAAGCGCGUGUAGGCGGCCACGUUAGUCCGUUCUGAAAGCCCGGGGCUCAACCCCGGGAGGCGGAUGGAUACUGCGUGGCUCGAGUCCGGAAGAGGCGAGUGGAAUUCCUGGUGUAGCGGUGAAAUGCGCAGAUAUCGGGAGGAACACCAAUGGCGAAGGCAGCUCGCUGGGACGUGACUGACGCUGAGACGCGAAAGCGUGGGGAGCAAACAGGAUUAGAUACCCU